GACCGCGUAGCUCAGUUGGCAGAGCAUUGGGCUAGUAUUCCAAAGGUCGUAGGUUCGAUUCCCAUCAUGGCCA
This is a non-coding RNA of Paramuricea clavata, 73 nucleotides long. Lineage: Eukaryota; Metazoa; Cnidaria; Anthozoa; Malacalcyonacea; Plexauridae. The record is from the annotation of a GenBank genome assembly.